This 309-nucleotide long non-coding RNA is filed under the name Mustela putorius furo (domestic ferret). RNAcentral's name for it is "lncRNA (ENSMPUG00000030569.1)". Lineage: Eukaryota; Metazoa; Chordata; Mammalia; Carnivora; Mustelidae. The record is from RNAcentral.
GGGGAGAGGCAGAAGGAGAGGGAGAAGCAGGCUCCCCACUGAGCAGAGAGCCUGAUGCAAUGCAGGGCUCGAUCCCAAGACCUGGAGAUCAUGACCCAAGCUGAAGGCAGAUGCUUAACCAUCUGAGCCGCUCAGGCACCCCAAGCAGCCACAUUUGUAAAAUUUGUAACAGGGUGCCUGUGGAGAGAGAGAGCACUCUGUACAGUACUCGUCGGACCAGGUGAGCUGGCGCGGGGGAGUUUUUCCUCCUACUCCCUGACCCCGGGCAGGCUUGGGGGCGCGCGACUCGCGGCUGUACUGGCACCUCCC